This 469-nucleotide ribosomal RNA is filed under the name uncultured organism. RNAcentral's name for it is "partial 16S ribosomal RNA". It matches the Rfam family "Bacterial small subunit ribosomal RNA", at positions 334 to 799 of the family's 1533-position model. The record is from RNAcentral.
CACUCCUGCGGGAGGCAGCAGUGAGGAAUAUUGGACAAUGGGUGGAAGCCUGAUCCAGCCAUCCCGCGUGCAGUAAGACGGCCCUAUGGGUUGUAAACUGCUUUUAUCUGGGGAUAAACCUACUUACGUGUAAGUAGCUGAAGGUACCAGAAGAAUAAGCACCGGCUAACUCCGUGCCAGCAGCCGCGGUAAUACGGAGGGUGCAAGCGUUAUCCGGAUUUAUUGGGUUUAAAGGGUCCGUAGGCGGACUGAUAAGUCAGUGGUGAAAUCCGACAGCUUAACUGUCGAACUGCCAUUGAUACUGUUAGUGUUGAGUAAGGUUGAAGUGGCUGGAAUAAGUAGUGUAGCGGUGAAAUGCAUAGAUAUUACUUAGAAGACCAAUUGCGAAGGCAGGUCACUAAGUCUUAACUGACGCUGAUGGACGAAAGCGUGGGGAGCGAACAGGAUUAGAAACCCUUGUAGUCCCAUG